RNAcentral lists this ribosomal RNA (445 nucleotides) under uncultured bacterium. RNAcentral's name for it is "partial 16S ribosomal RNA". It matches the Rfam family "Bacterial small subunit ribosomal RNA", at positions 354 to 796 of the family's 1533-position model. The record is from RNAcentral.
GUGAGGAAUAUUGGACAAUGGGCGCAAGCCUGAUCCAGCCAUGCCGCGUGCAGGAAGACGCAUCUAUGGUGUGUAAACUGCUUUUGUACGGGAAGAAACACUCCCUCGUGAGGGAGCUUGACGGUACCGUAAGAAUAAGGAUCGGCUAACUCCGUGCCAGCAGCCGCGGUAAUACGGAGGAUCCAAGCGUUAUCCGGAAUCAUUGGGUUUAAAGGGUCCGUAGGCGGUUUAAUAAGUCAGUGGUGAAAGCCCAUCGCUCAACGCUGGAACUGCCAUUGAUACUGUUAGACUUGAAGUACAAGGAAGUAACUAGAAGAUGUAGUGUAGCGGUGAAAUGCUUAGAUAUUACAUGGAAUACCAAUUGCGAAGGCAGGUUACUACUUGUAGAUUGACGCUGAUGGACGAAAGCGUUGGGAGCGAACAGGAUUAGAAACCCGGGUAGUCC